RNAcentral lists this long non-coding RNA (1136 nucleotides) under Rattus norvegicus (Norway rat). RNAcentral's name for it is "long non-coding RNA NONRATT001317". Lineage: Eukaryota; Metazoa; Chordata; Mammalia; Rodentia; Muridae. The record is from RNAcentral.
CUGUUACAUUGGCAUCUCUGUGAGGACAGAUAGAGUCAUGACUUCCCGCUGGCCUACCCUACUCCCAGACACAAAGGCUAGAAUCCUAUCCCCAGCUGCUGGCCAGGAACACAGUGGAAAGAUCAGAGAAGAGGCCAGGGAGCACAUGGGAUGAGUACACAGAGGCCUGGCCUUGAAGAAUGUGGAUCAAAGCACAGCCAAAAUACGGUGGAGUUGUGGCCCUCCUAGCCUAGAAGACCCUCAGCAGAUGAGCCUCGCCUGAGAGCCUCAUGUGACAAGGGCCAGUGAUGAAGGUAGCUUAAGAUGGCUUCGUCCACAGCCUGUGCACAUAAGAAAGGGUCCAGAAGAGAAGAUGAACCUAAGGGUCCAUGAACUUCGGAUGGUAGCCACAGUGCAGUGGCCUACAGAGAGAAAGCAGUACAGCUAUGAGGACGGUUCAAAUGAGGCUUCCAUCGUGCUAGAUGGUACAUCCAGCAUCCAGGAAAGUCCUCCCUUGUGUGGACCGGAUGCAUCCUUGUUGAAGGAGGCUCUUUCGCCCCCUUCACAUCCCUGCUAGUCUAAGAUUGUCACCCUCUGUGCUGAAAUUAGGAGGGCAUGCAUGUGCAUGUGUGUCCAUGUGUGAGCUUGCUCAAUGAGAAGUCAGUGCCUGGAUUAGAGCCCUUUCAAAGCACCUAGAAGUUGACACACCGGAUAGUGAGAUAUGCAGUCAGGUGUGACCAUUACAUCCAGCAUUGUAUAUUACAAAGCCCAGUGGCCAGGGGGAGGAACGAGAGUGCUGUCUGAAAGCAUUAGGUUCAAUUUAUAUUUGUGUCAGGAGAAAUGUUCCACUGUGGUGCAGAUGACCAAGUAGUUAUGGACCCCUAGGUCAAAAUCAGAGAAAAGCUUACAGGAUUGGACACAUGGGCCCCUUUCUUCAGUGGCUCCAGGAUUUCUGCUAGGAAAUGCAUUCAGUGCUCUUGGUCCUUCCCAUUGGCCAUCCAUGCCCAGUCAUCGAUUCUCUAACUGAGUCUGAUGUUGGGUUUGGUCUUUGAGUCUGAAAUUUUUAGUCCUUAGUGCAUGGUCUCCUCUUAUUUAAAUGACUUCCUUCUCUCAGCCCAUUUGCUGUACUCUCUGAAUGGCAGCAAUAGGCUGUGUCA